UUCGGGCGUUCCCCUUCGGGGGGACAGGGUGACAGGUGGUGCAUGGUUGUCGUCAGCUCGUGUCGUGAGAUGUUGGGUUAAGUCCCGCAACGAGCGCAACCCUCGCCUCUAGUUGCCAGCAUUCGGUUGGGGCACUCUAGAGGGACUGCCGGCGACAAGUCGGAGGAAGGUGGGGAUGACGUCAAAUCAUCAUGCCCCUUAUGACCUGGGCUACACACGUGCUACAAUGGGCGGUACAAAGGGCUGCGAACCCGCGAGGGGGAGCGAAUCCCAAAAAGCCGCUCUCAGUUCGGAUUGCAGGCUGCAACUCGCCUGCAUGAAGCCGGAAUCGCUAGUAAUCGCGGAUCAGCAUGCCGCGGUGAAUACGUUCCCGGGCCUU
Molecule: ribosomal RNA, 379 nt
Filed under: uncultured Geobacillus sp.
Lineage: Bacteria; Bacillati; Bacillota; Bacilli; Caryophanales; Anoxybacillaceae
Description: bacterial SSU rRNA
Rfam family: Bacterial small subunit ribosomal RNA
Source: RNAcentral